Molecule: ribosomal RNA, 466 nt
Filed under: uncultured bacterium
Lineage: Bacteria
Description: partial 16S ribosomal RNA
Rfam family: Bacterial small subunit ribosomal RNA
Source: RNAcentral
GAUGAACGCUGGCGGCGUGCUUAACACAUGCAAGUCGAACGGAAAGGCCCAAGCUUGCUUGGGUACUCGAGUGGCGAACGGGUGAGUAACACGUGGGUGAUCUGCCCUGCACUUCGGGAUAAGCCUGGGAAACUGGGUCUAAUACCGGAUAGGACCACAUUUUGGAUGGUGUGGUGGAAAGUUUUUCGGUGUGGGAUGAGCUCGCGGCCUAUCAGCUUGUUGGUGGGGUAAUGGCCUACCAAGGCGUCGACGAGUAGCCGGCCUGAGAGGGUGUACGGCCACAUUGGGACUGAGAUACGGCCCAGACUCCUACGGGAGGCAGCAGUGGGGAAUAUUGCACAAUGGGCGCAAGCCUGAUGCAGCGACGCCGCGUGGGGGAUGACGGCCUUCGGGUUGUAAACUCCUUUCGCUAGGGACGAAGCGUUAUGUGACGGUACCUGGAGAAGAAGCACCGGCUAACUACGUG